RNAcentral lists this ribosomal RNA (253 nucleotides) under uncultured bacterium. RNAcentral describes it as "partial 16S ribosomal RNA". It matches the Rfam family "Bacterial small subunit ribosomal RNA", at positions 524 to 776 of the family's 1533-position model. The record is from RNAcentral.
UACGUAGGAGGCGAGCGUUGUCCGGAGUUACUGGGCGUAAAGGGUGCGUAGGCGGCGCGGUAAGUCGGGUGUGAAAUCUUGGAGCUUAACUCCGAAACUGCAUUCGAUACUGCCGUGCUUGAGGACUGGAGAGGAGACUGGAAUUUACGGUGUAGCGGUGAAAUGCGUAGAUAUCGUAAGGAAGACCAGUGGCGAAGGCGGGUCUCUGGACAGUUCCUGACGCUGAGGCACGAAGGCCAGGGGAGCAAACGGG